This 74-nucleotide transfer RNA is filed under the name Aphanizomenon flos-aquae WA102. RNAcentral's name for it is "tRNA-Asp". It matches the Rfam family "tRNA". From Rfam's summary of the family: Transfer RNA (tRNA) molecules are approximately 80 nucleotides in length. Their secondary structure includes four short double-helical elements and three loops (D, anti-codon, and T loops). The record is from RNAcentral. Lineage: Bacteria; Bacillati; Cyanobacteriota; Cyanophyceae; Nostocales; Aphanizomenonaceae.
GGAGUGUUAGCAUAGUUGGUUAAUGCGCUACCCUGUCACGGUAGAGAUCACGGGUUCAAGUCCCGUACACUUCG